UCAAAAAAUAUUCGCUGAAUUUAAGAAUGAUUUUGCUUACAUUUUACUCUUUCAGAUUUGGGAACUCAGACUCAGAGAGAGCCUCUCUUCUCAUUGAGACUAAGUGACAUCAGUGAAUGGGCUGGUCUGGAUGGCUUCACUCAUAUUUCUGGUGCUUUGACAAGGAUGAUUAGAAGACUGGACUUAGUUGGGGCUGAAUCCUUCUUCUUCAACUUGGUGGACUGAUGGUGGGUAGACUUUUCAUCUUGAGGCUUGGGAAUCUAAAA
Molecule: long non-coding RNA, 266 nt
Filed under: Callithrix jacchus (white-tufted-ear marmoset)
Lineage: Eukaryota; Metazoa; Chordata; Mammalia; Primates; Cebidae
Description: lncRNA (ENSCJAG00000067501.2)
Source: RNAcentral